AUUGAACGCUGGCGGCAUGCUUUACACAUGCAAGUCGAACGGUAACAGGCCGCAAGGUGCUGACGAGUGGCGAACGGGUGAGUAAUGCAUCGGAACGCGCCCAGUCGUGGGGGAUAACUACUCGAAAGAGUAGCUAAUACCGCAUACGAUCUAUGGAUGAAAGCGGGGGACCGUAAGGCCUCGCGCGAUUGGAGCGGCCGAUGUCAGAUUAGGUAGUUGGUGGGGUAAAGGCUCACCAAGCCAACGAUCUGUAGCUGGUCUGAGAGGACGACCAGCCACACUGGGACUGAGACACGGCCCAGACUCCUACGGGAGGCAGCAGUGGGGAAUUUUGGACAAUGGGCGCAAGCCUGAUCCAGCCAUGCCGCGUGCAGGAAGAAGGCCUUCGGGUUGUAAACUGCUUUUGUACGGAACGAAACGGCUCUGGUUAAUACCCGGGGCUAAUGACGGUACCGUAAGAAUAAGCACCGGCUAACUACGUG
This 482-nucleotide ribosomal RNA is filed under the name uncultured bacterium. Its description in RNAcentral is "partial 16S ribosomal RNA". It matches the Rfam family "Bacterial small subunit ribosomal RNA", at positions 30 to 507 of the family's 1533-position model. The record is from RNAcentral.